AGCUCCAAUAGCGUAUAUUAAAGUUGUUGCGGUUAAAAGCUCGUAGUUGGAUUUCUGUCGAAAACAGCCGGUCCGCUCUAUGAGCGUGUAUCUGGUUUGGUUUUGGCAUCCUCUUGAAGAACGUAUCUGCGCUUCACUGCGUGGUGCGGUAUUCAAGACUUUUACUUUGAGGAAAUUAGAGUGUUCACGGCAGGCAAGCGCCUUGAAUAUAUUAGCAUGGAAUAAUAAUAUAGGAUUUUGGUUCUAUUUUGUUGGUUUCUAGGACUAGAAUAAUGAUUAAUAGGGAUAAUUGGGGGCAUUUGUAUUAACGCGUCAGAGGUGGAAUUCUUGGAUUGCGUUACGACAAACUACUGCGAAAGCAUUUGCCAAGGAUGUUUUCA
This 380-nucleotide ribosomal RNA is filed under the name uncultured eukaryote. Its description in RNAcentral is "SSU rRNA". It matches the Rfam family "Eukaryotic small subunit ribosomal RNA", at positions 587 to 972 of the family's 1831-position model. The record is from RNAcentral.